Molecule: ribosomal RNA, 389 nt
Filed under: uncultured bacterium
Lineage: Bacteria
Description: bacterial SSU rRNA
Rfam family: Bacterial small subunit ribosomal RNA
Source: RNAcentral
AUUGAACGCUGGCGGCAUGCCUUACACAUGCAAGUCGAACGGUAACAGGUUAAGCUGACGAGUGGCGAACGGGUGAGUAAUAUAUCGGAACGUGCCCAGUCGUGGGGGAUAACGUAGCGAAAGCUACGCUAAUACCGCAUACGAUCUAUGGAUGAAAGCGGGGGAUCGCAAGACCUCGCGCGAUUGGAGCGGCCGAUAUCAGAUUAGGUAGUUGGUGGGGUAAAAGCCCACCAAGCCGACGAUCUGUAGCUGGUCUGAGAGGACGACCAGCCACACUGGGACUGAGACACGGCCCAGACUCCUACGGGAGGCAGCAGUGGGGAAUUUUGGACAAUGGGCGCAAGCCUGAUCCAGCAAUGCCGCGUGCAGGAUGAAGGCCUGGUGUAACU